Molecule: ribosomal RNA, 300 nt
Filed under: Triticum aestivum (bread wheat)
Lineage: Eukaryota; Viridiplantae; Streptophyta; Magnoliopsida; Poales; Poaceae
Description: partial small subunit ribosomal RNA
Source: RNAcentral
AUGGUGAUGAACGUCGGGGUACUUGAUGGUCUCGGUCUCCAAAGUGGUACAGGGAGAGAUGCACGGCCGUGGUCAUCUUCGGACCUGGGGCUCCAUGAUGGCGUCGUGGUGGUCUUGCAGCAACAGCAGCAGCAAGGGCGUCGGGCAGGGGAUGGUCGCGGCAGAGGACGAAGCAGAGGAGCAGCAGCGCGAGGUCGGGCUUGCGGGAGGGCGGAGCGACGGGAACAGCGGCGGACGAGCUCCUCUUGGUCGCGGUGGUCCCCACGUCCGGCGGUCGGAAGCGGCGAGUCGCGAGGAUGA